CAGCCGCCGCGGGAAUACGGAGGGUGCAAGCGUUAAUCGGAAUUACUGGGCGUAGAGCGUGCGUAGGUGGUGGUUUAAGUCCGUUGUGAAAGCCCUGGGCUCAACCUGGGAAUUGCAGUGGAUACUGGGUCACUAGAGUGUGGUAGAGGAUAGUGGAAUUUCCGGUGUAGCAGUGAAAUGCGUAGAGAUCGGAAGGAACAUCUGUGGCGAAGGCGGCCAUCUGGGACAACACUGACGCUGAGGUACGAAAGCGUGGGGAGCAAACAGGAUUAGAUACCCGUGUAGUCCCUGUCUCUUAUAA
This 301-nucleotide ribosomal RNA is filed under the name uncultured bacterium. Its description in RNAcentral is "partial 16S ribosomal RNA". It matches the Rfam family "Bacterial small subunit ribosomal RNA", at positions 509 to 809 of the family's 1533-position model. The record is from RNAcentral.